RNAcentral lists this ribosomal RNA (497 nucleotides) under uncultured bacterium. RNAcentral's name for it is "partial 16S ribosomal RNA". It matches the Rfam family "Bacterial small subunit ribosomal RNA", at positions 28 to 507 of the family's 1533-position model. The record is from RNAcentral.
GAUGAACGCUGGCGGCGUGCCUAAUACAUGCAAGUCGAGCGAACGGACGAGAAGCUUGCUUUUCUGAUGUUAGCGGCGGACGGGUGAGUAACACGUGGAUAACCUACCUAUAAGACUGGGAUAACUUCGGGAAACCGGGGCUAAUACCGGAUAAUAUUUUGAACCGCAUGGUUCAAAAGUGAAAGACGGUCUUGCUGUCACUUAUAGAUGGAUCCGCGCUGCAUUAGCUAGUUGGUAAGGUAACGGCUUACCAAGGCAACGAUGCAUAGCCGACCUGAGAGGGGGGAUGGUCACACUGGAACUGAGACACGGUCCAGACUCCUACGGGAGGCAGCAGUAGGGAAUCUUCCGCAAUGGGCGAAAGCCUGACGGAGCAACGCCGCGUGAGUGAUGAAGGUCUUCGGAUCGUAAAACUCUGUUAUUAGGGAAGAACAUAUGUGUAAGUAACUGUGCACAUCUUGACGGUACCUAAUCAGAAAGCCACGGCUAACUACGUG